ACACAUGCAGUCGAGCGGCAGCACAGAGGACUUGUUCCUUGGGUGGCGAGCGGCGGACGGGUGAGUAAUGCCUAGGAAAUUGCCCUGAUGUGGGGGAUAACCAUUGGAAACGAUGGCUAAUACCGCAUGAUGCCUACGGGCCAAAGAGGGGGACCUUCGGGCCUCUCGCGUCAGGAUAUGCCUAGGUGGGAUUAGCUAGUUGGUGAGGUAAUGGCUCACCAAGGCGACGAUCCCUAGCUGGUCUGAGAGGAUGAUCAGCCACACUGGAACUGAGACACGGUCCAGACUCCUACGGGAGGCAGCAGUGGGGAAUAUUGCACAAUGGGCGCAAGCCUGAUGCAGCCAUGCCGCGUGUAUGAAGAAGGCCUUCGGGUUGUAAAGUACUUUCAGUCGUGAGGAAGGUGGUGUUGUUAAUAGCAGCAUCAUUUGACGUUAGCGACAGAAGAAGCACCGGCUAACUCCGUGCCAGCAGCCGCGGUAAUACGGAGGGUGCGAGCGUUAAUCGGAAUUACUGGGCGUAAAGCGCAUGCAGGUGGUGGAUUAAGUCAGAUGUGAAAGCCCGGGGCUCAACCUCGGAACCGCAUUUGAAACUGGUUCACUAGAGUACUGUAGAGGGGGGUAGAAUUUCAGGUGUAGCGGUGAAAUGCGUAGAGAUCUGAAUGAAUACCGGCUGGCCGAAUGCAGCCCCCUGACAGAUACUGACACUCAGAUGCGAAAGCGUGGGUAGCAACAGGAUUA
RNAcentral lists this ribosomal RNA (738 nucleotides) under uncultured bacterium. RNAcentral's name for it is "bacterial SSU rRNA". It matches the Rfam family "Bacterial small subunit ribosomal RNA", at positions 51 to 780 of the family's 1533-position model. The record is from RNAcentral.